Vidua chalybeata is the source of this 341-nucleotide long non-coding RNA. RefSeq lists it as uncharacterized. The transcript is spliced from 2 exons. Lineage: Eukaryota; Metazoa; Chordata; Aves; Passeriformes; Viduidae. The record is from RefSeq and is a predicted model, not a curated record.
UCUGCAACUGCAGCUGGAGUCAAACACUGCUCAGACAGAGAGAGAAGUGAUGCUGGGUCUUCUUUGGGUCUGACACCCCAAACUGAAUGUGCAGUUUCUCAGCCUGAGUGUUGCUCUCUUUUUCAAAGCUGGGAGAUCCAGAAGCAGAGGCAGGAGUUCUUCCAGGCUGAUCAAGUCCAGAUCACCAAGGACACCAUUGCAGCUUUAGGCUCAAGGAAUACAAACAACAGUGAACUGAGGAGAGCAAACUGGGAGGAAGGGACUGCAUCACCUGGAGCUGGAAUUGGACAAUUAACCCAAAUUUGUAAAUGGACCAAAACUUAUAAAAGUAUGAAAACUCA